This 349-nucleotide ribosomal RNA is filed under the name Polypedates leucomystax A. Its description in RNAcentral is "partial 12S ribosomal RNA". It matches the Rfam family "Bacterial small subunit ribosomal RNA", at positions 855 to 1381 of the family's 1533-position model. Lineage: Eukaryota; Metazoa; Chordata; Amphibia; Anura; Rhacophoridae. The record is from RNAcentral.
ACACUUAAAACGCCUGGGUACUACGAGCCCCGCUUAAAACCCAAAGGAUUUGACGGUGUUCCACCCAACUAGAGGAGCCUGUUCUAUAAUCGACAAUCCACGAUCUACCUAACCAUUUUUUGCUACUCAGCCUGUAUACCUCCGUCGUAAGCUUAUCAUUUGAAUGAGAAAAAGUAAGCACAAGGACUAAAAGCCAAAACGUCAGGUCAAGGUGCAGCUUAUAAAAUGGAAGAAAUGAGCUACAAUUUCUAAUCUAGAACACACGAAUUACUGCAUGAAACAAAGUCAUGAAGGUGGAUUUAGCAGUAAGUAGGGAAUAGAGAGCCCUACUUAAUUUGGCCCUGGAACG